CACGGAAUCGGAUUGCGAGGGGUUCGAACCCGAUCAGGGGGUUCGACAGUCUCGCUGGGAGCGAGACUGAAUGACCGCAGCGAACCCGAAGGGCGAGGCGCAGGACGCGCCGAGUCAUCCCUCGCCCUCCGCCA
RNAcentral lists this small RNA (134 nucleotides) under Gammaproteobacteria bacterium. RNAcentral's name for it is "RtT sRNA". It matches the Rfam family "RtT RNA". Rfam says of the family: This family represents a bacterial cis-regulatory element known as RtT RNA. The exact function of RtT is unknown although it is thought that it may be involved in changing the cellular response in relation to amino acid starvation. Lineage: Bacteria; Pseudomonadati; Pseudomonadota; Gammaproteobacteria. The record is from RNAcentral.